GUGCAGCCCCAUCUGAAGAAGUGCUUUGAAGGCAUUGCCAGUGUGGUGUUCACCGAUGUGCUAGACAUCACCCAUAUGAAGAGCAGUGAGGGGGAGGUGGUGCAGCUGCUGGAUAUCAUUUCUACCUCCAAAGCCAGGGGUCAGGUGGAGAAGUGGCUUCUGG
Molecule: non-coding RNA, 163 nt
Organism: Xyrichtys novacula (pearly razorfish)
Lineage: Eukaryota; Metazoa; Chordata; Actinopteri; Labriformes; Labridae
Source: the annotation of a GenBank genome assembly